Small nuclear RNA from Gracilinanus agilis (Agile Gracile Mouse Opossum), 107 nucleotides. The record is from RefSeq and is a predicted model, not a curated record. Lineage: Eukaryota; Metazoa; Chordata; Mammalia; Didelphimorphia; Didelphidae.
UUGCGCACUGGAUAGCAUAGAAACUAAAACUGAAAAUUUACAGAGAAUAUUAGCAUGGCCCUUCAGUAAAGGAUAAUAAACACAAUUGUGAAGUAUCCUAUUUUUUA